CAGGUCACAUAACAUGGUUAAGUAAAUCCAACAUUUCAUUUUUGGAGUGCAUGAAAACGUUGGUAUUUUUCUCUUCUUUCGCUCACCGUGUGUCUCGCUGCUACCGGACUACCGGGUUCUGCUCGACGUAUUUCCUACAUAAAACACUGCAAGCUCAUAAAACCUCACGCGUCCGACACGUCAGCUCACCGUUCAAGGAUUUGUUAAGCAGCGACGGAUGAUCUGCUCUCCCAGGGCUUGCUUCCCCCUCUGGCUGCACAUGAAAGCCUGCUGAUUUCCAUCAAAGCCAAACUCACCUUUAUGGUCACGGGUUCACCGCCAUCGAGACGUCACCCCUCUCUCGUACGGCAGGUGGAGGAUUCACACUGGCACACACCGUUUAUAUUUCCUCUCUCCAGCUUUCAUCUGUUCGCCACCUGAUGAUGCCGACUGAAAACAUUCGGUGUUUUCUGCAUCGUUUUUCUCAGGGAAACCUGGACAAAGAUGGCAACCUGAGCAAACACACGUGAUAGAUAUUUUUAAACUUUUUGACCCUAUUGCAUUAAUCAGUUGUAUUAAAUGUUUUUCUUGCUGCCAUAAUUUUCAUCUCUGCAGCUUUGAGCUGCACUAACUGAUAAGAAGCAAGCCUGUGAUUGGUCAAGAUGUUUUUCUCUGUGCUCUGUUUGUAAUAAAUUGUUCAGCUUU
Austrofundulus limnaeus is the source of this 684-nucleotide long non-coding RNA. RefSeq lists it as uncharacterized. The transcript is spliced from 2 exons. The record is from RefSeq and is a predicted model, not a curated record. NCBI's taxonomy places the organism in Eukaryota, Metazoa, Chordata, Actinopteri, Cyprinodontiformes, Rivulidae.